This 67-nucleotide transfer RNA is filed under the name Trigoniophthalmus alternatus. Its description in RNAcentral is "tRNA-Asn". Lineage: Eukaryota; Metazoa; Arthropoda; Insecta; Archaeognatha; Machilidae. The record is from RNAcentral.
UUAAUAAAAUCCAAAUUAGAGGAAUGUUACUGUUAACAACAUCAUUAAGAUAUAAUCUUUUAUUAAA